UUAACGCUCAACUCACUUUCUUGCUCUUCCAACCAAAACUACCAACUGCAAAAUCGACCCAAAAACAAUUCUUGUUGAAUUCUUGAUUUUUUUCUCAACAAUUUUUCUUCUGUUAGCUUGGAUUUCCAAGAAUGUAGAAUGUGCGGUUAAUCACUCCAAAGCUCCUUCAAAAUAAACAAAAAAAGUAAUACACAGAUUGAAUUAUUUUUGUGAUUAUUGGUUGAAAUUGGGACUAGACUACGAAAAGGGUCAAGAUUGCAUUGCCUCAGAUCCUGCUAUCAGAUUUGGCAAGCUUAUUCGAGACGCUGCGAUUCGAUGCUGCAUUUUAUGUGUUCAUCCGUUUGCCGUGUAUCUUGUGUGAUGUUUGUUGAGUA
Molecule: long non-coding RNA, 374 nt
Organism: Salvia miltiorrhiza (redroot sage)
Lineage: Eukaryota; Viridiplantae; Streptophyta; Magnoliopsida; Lamiales; Lamiaceae
Exons: 3
Source: RefSeq, a predicted model, not a curated record